RNAcentral lists this ribosomal RNA (491 nucleotides) under uncultured Glomus. RNAcentral describes it as "SSU rRNA". It matches the Rfam family "Eukaryotic small subunit ribosomal RNA", at positions 589 to 1081 of the family's 1831-position model. The record is from RNAcentral. Lineage: Eukaryota; Fungi; Glomeromycota; Glomeromycetes; Glomerales; Glomeraceae.
CUCCAAUAGCGUAUAUUAAAGUUGUUGCAGUUAAAAAGCUCGUAGUUGAAUUUCGGGGUCAGUAGGUCGGUCGUGCCACUGGUAUGAACUGGUUUUACUGAUUCCUCCCUCUUGAAGAACUGUAAUGCCAUUAAUUUGGUGUUGCAGGGAAUCAGGACUGUUACUUUGAAAAAAUUAGAGUGUUUAAAGCAGGCUUUAGCUUGAAUACAUUAGCAUGGAAUAAUGAAAUAGGACGUUUGAUCCUAUUUUGUUGGUUUCUAGGAUUGACGUAAUGAUUAAUAGGGAUAGUUGGGGGCAUUAGUAUUCAAUUGUCAGAGGUGAAAUUCUUGGAUUUAUUGAAGACUAACUACUGCGAAAGCAUUUGCCAAGGAUGUUUUCAUUAAUCAAGAACGAAAGUUAGGGGAUCGAAGACGAUCAGAUACCGUCGUAGUCUUAACCAUAAACUAUGCCGACUAGGGAUCGGAUGAUGUUAAUUUUUUAAUGACUCAUUC